Molecule: transfer RNA, 66 nt
Filed under: Sipunculus nudus (marine worm)
Lineage: Eukaryota; Metazoa; Annelida; Sipuncula; Golfingiida; Sipunculidae
Description: tRNA-Gly
Source: RNAcentral
ACUUCUUUAGUAUAGAUAGUACCUCUUCCUUCCAAGUAGAUAGUCUAGUUGACACUAGAAGAAGUA